ACCCUUUACAAACGUGAGAAGGAA
This 24-nucleotide non-coding RNA is filed under the name Arabidopsis thaliana (thale cress). The record is from RNAcentral. Lineage: Eukaryota; Viridiplantae; Streptophyta; Magnoliopsida; Brassicales; Brassicaceae.